GGCGGCAUGCCUUACACAUGCAAGUCGAACGGCAGCACGGGUGCUUGCACCUGGCGGCGAGUGGCGAACGGGUGAGUAAUACAUCGGAACAUGUCCUGUAGUGGGGGAUAGCCCGGCGAAAGCCGGAUUAAUACCGCAUACGAUCUACGGAUGAAAGCGGGGGACCUUCGGGCCUCGCGCUAUAGGGUUGGCCGAUGGCUGAUUAGCUAGUUGGUGGGGUAAAGGCCUACCAAGGCGACGAUCAGUAGCUGGUCUGAGAGGACGACCAGCCACACUGGGACUGAGACACGGCCCAGACUCCUACGGGAGGCAGCAGUGGGGAAUUUUGGACAAUGGGCGAAAGCCUGAUCCAGCAAUGCCGCGUGUGUGAAGAAGGCCUUCGGGUUGUAAAGCACUUUUGUCCGGAAAGAAAUCCUUGGCUCUAAUACAGUCGGGGGAUGACGGUACCGGAAGAAUAAGCACCGGCUAACUACGUGCCAGCAGCCGCGGUAAUACGUAGGGUGCGAGCGUUAAUCGGAAUUACUGGGCGUAAAGCGUGCGCAGGCGGUUUGCUAAGACCGAUGUGAAAUCCCCGGGCUCAACCUGGGAACUGCAUUGGUGACUGGCAGGCUAGAGUAUGGCAGAGGGGGGUAGAAUUCCACGUGUAGCAGUGAAAUGCGUAGAGAUGUGGAGGAAUACCGAUGGCGAAGGCAGCCCCCUGGGCCAAUACUGACGCUCAUGCACGAAAGCGUGGGGAGCAAACAGGAUUAGAUACCCUGGUAGUCCACGCCCUAAACGAUGUCAACUAGUUGUUGGGGAUUCAUUUCCUUAGUAACGUAGCUAACGCGUGAAGUUGACCGCCUGGGGAGUACGGUCGCAAGAUUAAAACUCAAAGGAAUUGACGGGGACCCGCACAAGCGGUGGAUGAUGUGGAUUAAUUCGAUGCAACGCGAAAAACCUUACCUACCCUUGACAUGGUCGGAAUCCCGCUGAGAGGUGGGAGUGCUCGAAAGAGAACCGGCGCACAGGUGCUGCAUGGCUGUCGUCAGCUCGUGUCGUGAGAUGCUGGGUUAAGUCCCGCAACGAGCGCAACCCUUGUCCUUAGUUGCUACGCAAGAGCACUCUAAGGAGACUGCCGGUGACAAACCGGAGGAAGGUGGGGAUGACGUCAAGUCCUCAUGGCCCUUAUGGGUAGGGCUUCACACGUCAUACAAUGGUCGGAACAGAGGGUUGCCAACCCGCGAGGGGGAGCUAAUCCCAGAAAACCGAUCGUAGUCCGGAUUGCACUCUGCAACUCGAGUGCAUGAAGCUGGAAUCGCUAGUAAUCGCGGAUCAGCAUGCCGCGGUGAAUACGUUCCCGGGUCUUGUACACACCGCCCGUCACACCAUGGGAGUGGGUUUUACCAGAAGUGGCUAGUCUAACCGCAAGGAGGACGGUCACCACGGUAGGAUUCAUGACUGGGGUGAA
This 1447-nucleotide ribosomal RNA is filed under the name uncultured organism. RNAcentral describes it as "16S ribosomal RNA". It matches the Rfam family "Bacterial small subunit ribosomal RNA". The record is from RNAcentral.